AAGUAAGUGAAAAUAUGCACUUUGCAUACAAAAACAUGAUAUUACCUAAUUAAUUGAUCUUUAUUUCUUAAUUGUCUCACUAUUAUCAGGUAAAACUUUUCCUGUUUACUUUUUAAUAUAACUUUUCUCACUUUAUAUUUUCCAGGCUGGAUGGUUUCAUUUUUAGUUGAGUAACAUUUUGGCACAUUAUCUUUACUUUCACUUAAGUAUAAUCUCUCAGUACUUUUUCCAUAUUUAAAAUGUAUACCUACUUCCAGUGGGAGAUUAUUUGCCUACGUUACAUUGAUUGGACUUUUAUGUGAGUGCCAAAAUGCAUACACCAACUAAUUAUAAAUGAAAUAAAUUAUUUGUGACUAUCCUCUCUUUGGGUCCUGUUUAAGCCAUACUUUAUGACUACUUUUUUUUUUAAAUCAUUUUAUGUUUUUUAUGUUCGGUUAUCACAUCAAUAUUAUGUUUAAGUUUUACUGUUUGUCACUAUGCAGACGUGGCACGGUGUAAUACAGACCAGGAAAUGCACUUUAACCCAAGCAAAGACAUUCUCAGCUUUUUGAAGCCUGUUAAUGAGCUGAAUCAGGUACACACUGAUACUAAAUUGUUUGCCAAAAGCUAGAAUUAAAUACAUAAAUGAUAGAAAAAGAGCUUGUCUUUUAAAAAAGAGGGCAACAUGAAAAAAAAUACUAUAGUUGUUACAGUAUUUUUAAAAAAUCCAUGACAUACCUUUCUGUGCAUCACCCAAAUCAGUAAUACUACCUGAACAGUCACCAAAAACGAGUCUAAAAAUGUCUAAACAAGAUUUACACCAAUCCGAGUGAACCCAAAAGAGGGAUUAAUUAUCCAGUGGACUAUGCAAGUAUAAUAAAGGUACUGAAUAGUUUUAUUCCAGACACUACACUUUCAGUAUUACAUUCUACCCUUCCAGGCUUCCUUGCACUGUUUAAGGUUGGGACCAUGGGUUAUGUCAUUUAUGGAUUCUAUUCUUUGUCGCAAUAUAGAGAUUUUUUUUUUUUUAAUUUCUAAAAUCUCUGGCAUGGUGCAGCACUUUCUGCUAUUAAUAUAACCAACGAUCACUGUUGUUCUUUAAUCACAUCCAAUUGUGUUUCAUUGCAAAAUUAAAAUGACAUAAUGGAGAUUUGAUGGCAUAAGAGUAGAGGACAGAGCUCCAGAAACAGAAAGCAGAAAUAAUAUUAAAUAAUAGCACACAUACUAUUAAAUAAUAAAUAUUUUCCAAAUAAAAUCCUAGCUAUUAGACUUCCUCGAAAGGAACAUGGUUCGGCUAUUGUUUUAUUAAUCAAAGGCAGGAGAAAAUACAUUCUUAUUAUCAGGUUUUAAGUAAAGUAAAUAAAAACUGGUGGUCAAACACAAUUUGGUUGCGAGUAGAACACAUUUUAAUAGGAUUACUAACAUUUCUUCUGCUGUCCACAUCUAUCAGUUUUAACAUGUUUAACAUUUUAACUCCAUUAAAGCCACACCAGCCAUAAAACUGCUUUUAAGAAUGCAUCACUCACCCACAAGCAGAACCAGUAAGCAUAAGCUCAAGAGCUGUAUCAUUACAGCCAUAAUGCAAGUCCUAUGUUGAAUACAAGGAUAGAGGAUCAAUGCUCAGCAGAGAGCUUCUUUAAACACUUUUCUGUGUGUACUGAUUCCUUCUGGAAGCUCCUACAGUUUUAGUGUAGAGAAAAAAUGGGUGUGGUCUGACUGUCAAGCCACUCCCUCCAAACUACAACCAUGAAUGUUAGUUAGAC
Ictalurus punctatus (channel catfish) is the source of this 1742-nucleotide long non-coding RNA. NCBI's taxonomy places the organism in Eukaryota, Metazoa, Chordata, Actinopteri, Siluriformes, Ictaluridae. The record is from Ensembl.